AAUCUUGGACAAUGGGCGCAAGCCUGAUCCAGCCAUGCCGCGUGAGUGAAGAAGGCCUUCGGGUUGUAAAGCUCUUUUACCAGGGACGAUAAUGACGGUACCUGGAGAAUAAGCCCCGGCAAACUUCGUGCCAGCAGCCGCGGUAAUACGAAGGGGGCUAGCGUUGUUCGGAAUUACUGGGCGUAAAGCGCACGUAGGCGGAUUGUUAAGUCAGAGGUGAAAUCCCGGAGCUCAACUUCGGAACUGCCUUUGAUACUGGCAAUCUAGAGUCCGGAAGAGGUUAGUGGAAUUCCCAGUGUAGAGGUGAAAUUCGUAGAUAUUGGGAAGAACACCAGUGGCGAAGGCGGCUAACUGGUCCGGUACUGACGCUGAGGUGCGAAAGCGUGGGGAGCAA
This 394-nucleotide ribosomal RNA is filed under the name uncultured Hyphomicrobiales bacterium. RNAcentral's name for it is "bacterial SSU rRNA". It matches the Rfam family "Bacterial small subunit ribosomal RNA", at positions 360 to 771 of the family's 1533-position model. Lineage: Bacteria; Pseudomonadati; Pseudomonadota; Alphaproteobacteria; Hyphomicrobiales. The record is from RNAcentral.